Molecule: unclassified non-coding RNA, 213 nt
Filed under: uncultured Tomentella
Lineage: Eukaryota; Fungi; Basidiomycota; Agaricomycetes; Thelephorales; Thelephoraceae
Description: sequence contains ITS2
Source: RNAcentral
ACACCUCAACUCUCACGGCUUGCCGUGAUGAGCUUGGACUUUGGGGGUCUUGCUGGCCUGCAGUCAGCUCCUCUCAAAUCAAUCAGCUUGCCAGUGUUUGGUGGCAUCACGGGUGUGAUAACUAUCUACGCUCGUGGUGUUUCCACCAGGUGUCCUCCAGCGAUGGGGGCCUCUGGAGCUAAUAAACGUCUCUCCGGAGACAGCUUUUUGAAC